AGGAAGGUAGUGUAGUUAACACCUGCAUUAUUUGACGUUACCUACAGAAGAAGCACCGGCUAACUCCGUGCCAGCAGCCGCGGUAAUACGGGAGGGUGCGAGCGUUAAGUACGGAAUUACGUGGGACGUAAAGCGCAUGCAGGCGGCCUGUUAAGUCAGAUGUAGAAAGGCCCGGGGACCGUUAACCGUACGGUAAAUUGCUAUUUAGUAAACGUGGCGAGGCUAGAGUCUUGUAGAGGGGGGUAGGAAUUUCAGGUGUAGCGGUGAAAUGCGUAGAGAUCUGAAGGAAUACCAGUGGCGAAGGCGGCCCCCUGGACAAAGACUGACGCUCAGAUGCGAAAGCGUGGGGAGCAAACAGGAUUAGAUACCCUGGUAG
RNAcentral lists this ribosomal RNA (376 nucleotides) under uncultured bacterium. Its description in RNAcentral is "bacterial SSU rRNA". It matches the Rfam family "Bacterial small subunit ribosomal RNA", at positions 441 to 793 of the family's 1533-position model. The record is from RNAcentral.